GAUCAUGGCUCAGGACGAACGCUGGCGGCGUGCCUAACACAUGCAAGUCGAACGGGGUACCCCUGAAGGAGUUUUCGGACAACUGAAGGGACUACCUAGUGGCGGACGGGUGAGUAACGCGUGAGCAACCUGCCUAUCAGAGGGGGACAACAGCUGGAAACGGCUGCUAAUACCGCAUAAAAUAACGGGGAGGGCAUCUUUCUGUUAUCAAAGAUUUAUCGCUGAUAGAUGGGCUCGCGUCUGAUUAG
This 248-nucleotide ribosomal RNA is filed under the name uncultured bacterium. RNAcentral describes it as "partial 16S ribosomal RNA". It matches the Rfam family "Bacterial small subunit ribosomal RNA", at positions 15 to 244 of the family's 1533-position model. The record is from RNAcentral.